Molecule: ribosomal RNA, 410 nt
Filed under: Staphylococcus aureus
Lineage: Bacteria; Bacillati; Bacillota; Bacilli; Caryophanales; Staphylococcaceae
Description: bacterial SSU rRNA
Rfam family: Bacterial small subunit ribosomal RNA
Source: RNAcentral
AAAAGUGAAAGACGGUCUUGCUGUCACUUAUAGAUGGAUCCGCGCUGCAUUAGCUAGUUGGUAAGGUAACGGCUUACCAAGGCAACGAUGCAUAGCCGACCUGAGAGGGUGAUCGGCCACACUGGAACUGAGACACGGUCCAGACUCCUACGGGAGGCAGCAGUAGGGAAUCUUCCGCAAUGGGCGAAAGCCUGACGGAGCAACGCCGCGUGAGUGAUGAAGGUCUUCGGAUCGUAAAACUCUGUUAUUAGGGAAGAACAUAUGUGUAAGUAACUGUGCACAUCUUGACGGUACCUAAUCAGAAAGCCACGGCUAACUACGUGCCAGCAGCCGCGGUAAUACGUAGGUGGCAAGCGUUAUCCGGAAUUAUUGGGCGUAAAGCGCGCGUAGGCGGUUUUUUAAGUCUGAUG